Molecule: long non-coding RNA, 358 nt
Filed under: Solanum tuberosum (potato)
Lineage: Eukaryota; Viridiplantae; Streptophyta; Magnoliopsida; Solanales; Solanaceae
Description: long non-coding RNA (STUB_LNC005076)
Source: RNAcentral
UUUAUUGUCUUUUUAUAUCUACAAAUAUGACUCGAUUCGUCUUGAUGUUCGUUUAAAUGGUUUAAGAUCUGGAAAUUUCAGUUAUUAUUUUAAUUAUCCUUCAUUUCUGUGUCUUUUUUUUGUGAUGGAAUGUAUCUUCAUGAUCUGUGAUUUCUACGGUGUCGCGUGAAUAUAAAUUUUCAUUUUGGCUUAAGUUAGUGAAGUGUUCGUAGUCUAUCCUUUAAUUUAAUCAUUAGGUGUUUUCCUCAUACUAUGCCAUCUGUUCCCUUGAUUUUUUAUUUUAUUUUUUUUUGUUUUGUUUUAUUUCAUUUUAUUUUGUUUUUAUUUUAUUUUUACGUUUUGAAAUGUUAAAAUUUAU